Long non-coding RNA from Mercurialis annua (annual mercury), 493 nucleotides. RefSeq lists it as uncharacterized. NCBI's taxonomy places the organism in Eukaryota, Viridiplantae, Streptophyta, Magnoliopsida, Malpighiales, Euphorbiaceae. The record is from RefSeq and is a predicted model, not a curated record. The transcript is spliced from 3 exons.
AUUUUUCUUAGCCAAAAACCCAAAGAAAUUUCCAGAGAAAGGAAAAAGGAAGAAGUUUCAUUUCUUCUUCUUCACCAAGAAGAAAUAUUUUCCUACACCAUCCAUUAAAGCUUGAGGUUUGGGAAUUCAAGCUUCUAUUGUUUAUUAUCUACCUCUAGCAACAAUAAAAUAAGAUCGUACGGGUAUUUGGAUUGGAGAAAUAGAGAAUUUGGAGGGUUAAACAACGGGCUAUUUUAUUGUGCUUUAUGAAAUUUGGAUUAAGCGAUCGAGUGUUUUCUUUCAGGAUUAAUACUUGAUGAUGUGGUCGAGCUUCCAACCAUUGUUCCGGAAGUCUCAAUUAUGGGGAGUCUUAUUUUUCUUAGAGCUGCAGUAGUCAAGAUAUUAGAGUUAGCAUGUAGCAAACAAUUUAUGUUUAUUUUAUGCCAUGACAUAAUGAUGUAUUUUGGGAAAAUGAAUUAUCCAGGAAUUUAAUAUAUGGUUAAUUGGUAUUUUA